AUUGAACGCUGGCGGCAGGCCUAACACAUGCAAGUCGAGCGGAUGAACGCAGCUUGCUCCUGGAUUCAGCGGCGGACGGGUGAGUAAUGCCUAGGAAUCUGCCUGGCAGUGGGGGAUAACGUCCGGAAACGGGCGCUAAUACCGCAUACGUCCUGAGGGUGAAAGUGGGGGAUCUUCGGACCUCACGCUAUCAGAUGAGCCUAGGUCGGAUUAGCUAGUUGGUGGGGUAAAGGCCUACCAAGGCGACGAUCCGUAACUGGUCUGAGAGGAUGAUCAGUCACAUUAGAACUGAGACACGGUCCAGACUCCUACGGGAGGCAGCAGUGGGGAAUGUUGGACAACGGGCGAAAGCCUGAUCCAGCCAUGCCGCGUGUGUGAAGAAGGUCUUCGGAUUGUAAAGCACUUUAAGGUGGGAGGAAGGGCAGUAAGUUAAUACCUUGCUGUUUUGACGUUACCAACAGAAGAAGCACCGGCUAACUACGUG
Molecule: ribosomal RNA, 484 nt
Filed under: uncultured bacterium
Lineage: Bacteria
Description: partial 16S ribosomal RNA
Rfam family: Bacterial small subunit ribosomal RNA
Source: RNAcentral